RNAcentral lists this long non-coding RNA (719 nucleotides) under Phascolarctos cinereus (koala). RNAcentral describes it as "lncRNA (ENSPCIG00000000930.2)". The record is from RNAcentral. Lineage: Eukaryota; Metazoa; Chordata; Mammalia; Diprotodontia; Phascolarctidae.
UAACUUAGCGCUUCCACGUAUAACGUCUAUUCUCCCUGGAGCUAAGGAAGCAAACUGUUGGGAGAGGCUUCGGGGGAGUUCCUGGGGAGGCUGGGGAGGCUGGAGAGGCUGGAGAGUGUAGCACCCACCUCCAAGGAGAAAGAGAAGGCUCCCAAGCCAGCAGCACAAUCAUCCUCUGACGACAGGGCUUUUGAGGCUCUUGCCUGGCUAUACCGAGUAGGAGUUGUCCUGAGGAGUGUGAGAAGAAAAGCUGUCUCAUGUCAGCCCUAACCCCAGGCAAAGGAGAGAAGACAGAAUAACAGACUUGGUGCCAGGGAGAUCUGGAGUUGUAUCCUGCCACAGACAGUGAGUAGCUGAGUGUCCCUGGGUAAGUUGCUUCCCUUUUUGGACUCCAUUCCCUGGAGCUGUUCUUGUCACUUGGGUUAUGGGGAACAAGUGAAAUUGUGCAUGUACCCUUGCUUUGAAAUCUGAUAGUGCCAUGUAAGUGGCAGAUGUGAUCAUUUCUGGAAUGGUUUUGAAUCCUAUUAAAACAAAAGGAAAGAUUAUCAGUGCUAUGAGAGCAUCUGCCCCUCUCCCAAGGCUGAGGUGAGAACAUGGCCCAUAGUGACUUUCGACCUGGGUAAAACUAUAUUAAGUGACAUAAAUGAUAAUUUGCUCCUGAUGGAUUUUCUUUUUUUUAACUGUUUAGAGGAUUUUACAAAAUCUUUCAAGCAUCUGGC